AUGGUUGGCGGUCUCCCAUGGACUUCUCCCACCUCUGUACUCGUCGGCCGCCGUGCCCACAACCGCCCCGCCAUCCUUUUUGGGCCUCCCGUGGUCUGCUUCUUCAAGCCAUCGGUGGCGGCGCCGUGCAGUCCACUGCAUUUGUGCACGCAGCACACCCAUCUCGCAUCGUGCAUUCCAUGCAGUGCAAAAAAGCAUGGCAACACUGAACGAUGUGGCGACAAGGAAACCCAUUCUAGCGGCCAUCCUUCUCCUAGCCCCACGCCACCUGUGGGACCAGCACUGGGGUUCUACAGGCUAAAUCUGAUGGCAUUCUGCAAGGACUUGAACACGAGGAUGCAGAAGUACAAGGCGGAGACUCCGACCACCUUCGAGUUCGUGGUCAAGUCGCUGUCAGUCUCAUGGUUCCUCAAGAAGGCGGCGGGCAUCGAGACGGCGAGCAGCCGGCCGGGCCACAACAUCAACAUAGUGACAUCCCUCUCGCUCUGGCAUGUGUACGAGAUCGCCAAGCUGAAGUAG
Molecule: ribosomal RNA, 519 nt
Filed under: Triticum aestivum (bread wheat)
Lineage: Eukaryota; Viridiplantae; Streptophyta; Magnoliopsida; Poales; Poaceae
Description: partial small subunit ribosomal RNA
Source: RNAcentral